Molecule: long non-coding RNA, 1028 nt
Filed under: Sorghum bicolor (sorghum)
Lineage: Eukaryota; Viridiplantae; Streptophyta; Magnoliopsida; Poales; Poaceae
Description: long non-coding RNA (SBIC_LNC017160)
Source: RNAcentral
GCCCGUGCCCCGCUCGUUUCUGCGCAGAGAACCGUCGCCGGGAAGUUCUUCGUCGGCCGCGCGUAGGCCGCCGUUCCGAGCCGUUUUCGCUGCGAUUUGGCGCCGUGGUGUGCUUCAUCUCCCUUCCCGCUCCCUCCCCGUCCUGUUGCCGAGUGAAUUGUGGCCCGGAGUUCUUGUUCCGCGAGCUCAGCAGGGACGUUCAUGGCGCCGCCGUGAACCUUCUCGAAAACCGCCUCCUCGACCGCGUUUAUGGGGUGGAAUGGACUCGCAUCGCUCUCCUAUUUCUCCCAGUUCAAUCGGAAUCGAAAACCGUGCACCGUAGCACCUCCUCCGCUCAACUCCGGCGAGCUUCAAGCGCAGGCCAUGGUGGCCACCGUGUUCUGGCCGGAGGUGGACUGUGCGCCGUCCCCUUCCUCUCUCUCUCUUUUUUAUUUUUUUUCUUUUAAUCUGGUGCGUUCAUCUGUGAUCCAACGGCCUAUAAUGCUCCGUACCCCUUCGAGGGCAUUCUUGUUAAAGAGUCCCCCAAAAAUUAUUGUAUUUGCACCGCAGUCCUCGGCCAGAGGAAUUAUAACACCCCAAAAUUUCAAUUUUAGGUUGUUAUUAUAAAAUACUAAAUAAAAUGAUUAGUUUUUAAUAUGAGGAUAAAAUUUUCCAACAAUAGUUUAGAUUUUCAUAUAUUUUUUUUAUCGAAGAAAAAUGGUGCUUUUCAAAUAUUUUGGAAUUAAUUAGACGAGCUUUAGUUGAUGUGAUGCUUGCUUGUUGCUUGAGUUUUGUGUUUUUGAGUGUGCUAGGUUUCAGAAAUGCGUUUGGACACCGUCCGGUCCUUCCUGAGAAUUUUUCAAAACUUUUUCGAAACUUUUUCCCAAUUUCCUAUAGCAAAAGUAUAAUUUUUGGACGCUCUAAAAUUCUUUUUCAUGGACACCAAAAACUUUAUCUAGAUUGAUCAACUCUCAAAAUAUCUCUAAAAGUUUUCUUUUAAUUUUUAGAAUUUUGGAAAUAUUUUUUAGGGAUUUAAAAUGAUUUCAGCU